CGCCCUGGGUUAGUCGGGACCUAAGCUGAGGCCGAAAGGCGUAGGUGAUGGACAACAGGUUGAUAUUCCUGUACUACCGAUAACCGUUUGAGAGAAGGGAUGACACAGUAGGAUAAGCUAAGCACACUGUUGGUUAUGUGUGCCCAAGCAUUGAGGCAGUCAAAGUAGGCAAAUCCGCUUUGAUAAUGCUGGGAUGUGAUGGGGAGCGAAAUUUAGUAGCGAA
RNAcentral lists this ribosomal RNA (223 nucleotides) under Clostridioides difficile. RNAcentral describes it as "partial 23S ribosomal RNA". It matches the Rfam family "Bacterial large subunit ribosomal RNA", at positions 1371 to 1589 of the family's 2925-position model. The record is from RNAcentral. Lineage: Bacteria; Bacillati; Bacillota; Clostridia; Peptostreptococcales; Peptostreptococcaceae.